AUGAGAAGCUGCACAACCCGCACACUUAAACGCCUAGGUGAAGCAUCAAAAUUCAAUAUAACUAGUUCUGGACAUGGACAAGGGCUUCAUUUGAUCUUUUGUUGCUCUCAAGCCAUAUUUUCCCUGUGUGUCUCUUUGUGCAGUGGUUUUUACAGAGGAAUUAGUCCAGGUGCUACUGGUUCAUUUGCUACAGGUGCAACAUAUCUUGAAUCAACUAAGACAUGGAUGGAGCACGCUAAUCCUAAUCUAAGAGGUCAUUGGUCUCACUUUAUUGCUGCAGGAAUUGGCAUUGCAAUCAUUUUCCUCUGA
This 309-nucleotide ribosomal RNA is filed under the name Triticum aestivum (bread wheat). RNAcentral's name for it is "partial small subunit ribosomal RNA". Lineage: Eukaryota; Viridiplantae; Streptophyta; Magnoliopsida; Poales; Poaceae. The record is from RNAcentral.